This 513-nucleotide ribosomal RNA is filed under the name uncultured eukaryote. RNAcentral's name for it is "eukaryotic LSU rRNA". It matches the Rfam family "Eukaryotic large subunit ribosomal RNA", at positions 1446 to 1929 of the family's 3401-position model. The record is from RNAcentral.
AGAUCUUGGUGGUAGUAGCAAAAUAUUCAAUAGAGAACAUUGAAGACUGAAGUGGAGAAGGGUUUCAUGGCAAUAUCAAUUAGCCAUGAGUUAGUCGAUCCUGAACGGAGGGUUAAUUCCUUAAAACACUAAGUAAUUAGUGAUUCCGUGAAAGGGAAGUAGGUUAAUAUUCCUACACCGGGUUAAGGGGAUUUAAUGAGGUAACUCAAAUGAUCUUAGAGACGCCAUUGUGAAAGUCAAGAAGAGUUCUCUUCUCUGUUUUACAAACUGUUGUACAGUUUACUGUGCAAUGUUAAAAUCCUUGGAAUUGAAUCAUUCAGAGAUAAGGAUUAAAAGUUUGGUAGAGUAAAUCAUUUUUUGAUUUAUUUGGCUUUUUCACAAUGGUUCAUAAAAAAUCUGAGGGAAAAAAUAUCCAUCUUAUCCGUUCGUACUCAUCACCGCAGCAGGUCUCCAAGGUUAGAAGCCUCUAGUUGACAGAAUAACGUUGGUAAGGGAAGUCGGCAAAUUAAAUUU